GUGCAAGCUAAUUAACAGGGUACCUGGGACUCCAAGACAGAGCCCACUUAGCUUCCCAAAGAAAGUUGUCUUCAGCAGUAGGACAAGUGUGGGAGUUCACUUUCCUGCUUCUUUCUUGCAGUGUGAAAUUCAGUCUGGUACAGAGGGCUGGAGAAAGGUCCUCUUUUCCAUUUAGGGAUGAGUGGGGUUGGAGGAGCUGCCAGCAGAGCAGCUGUGCAGAGGUAUCUCUGCACAGCUUGCACACUGCAGAGGAAGGCCCUGAGCUAGUCCCAUGGAGGCCAAAGUGCAGGGAAGGGCCCCAAGAGCUUCAGCUUGAAGUCCUAGUAUCUUGCACAGAUGUUGAGAGGUUGCAGUAGCAACUGCUAUUCCAGCCCACAGGCUGGAAUAAUGGUUGGAGAUGAGGAUACAUGCAGCAUCCUUAUUGGCUGUAAUAUGGGGAGAUGGAUUCUACUUUCCCAUCUGCUCUCGUUACUUGGGCUUUAUGUGGGAAAAGUGAAUUCCACCCUAAUAUGAUCAUUUUACCAUAUAUUUGCAGGUCAGUAGCAACCAGUGAUCACCAUUCUCUCCCUUUCAGCAUUGUUUCUGAAGUUCAGGAAAGUAUUUUUUCCUCUGGGACUAUUCACUGAACCCCUCCCUUGCUGAAGCUUCACCCAAGAAAGCCAAAUUCAGGAGUGCAUCUGAACAAUCUUCAGAAAUAUGCUACUUUCAUCCUGUCAGCAGGCCCACAUUCCAUCAAUGAAAGACUAGUGUGGCAUAGUCCAGUCCCCAUUCUCUCAACCACAGCUCUUCAGACAAGCUUCAGGAACAUGCAGAACAGAAACGUUCACCCACAGUCCUCAAGGCUCAGCAUGGGACCAAAUAGCCAGACUUCUCCCCACUGUCAGGCUCCUCAAGGUUGCCUGUGCUGGAAGCUUUGGAGGAAGGCGAAGAAGAAAAAUACAAUAGAUCCUGCAAACCCUACAAUAAUAUACUGUUGUACCAUAGGAGGAAGGGGGGAAUUUUCUUGCUGACUUGACAUGAUAUUAAUUUUACGCCCUGAAAAGGAGGAUUGGUUGCCUUGUCGUUUUAUGCUAGUUAAUAUAAUUGCUCAUACGUGUUAUAAGUUUCAAUUAAAAUACAAUCCUCAUUGCUUAAAUUAACCAUUUUAAUAGUUAAUCUCCACAGACCCCAUCUUGUUUGCUUUUAAUU
Molecule: long non-coding RNA, 1188 nt
Filed under: Chrysemys picta bellii (western painted turtle)
Lineage: Eukaryota; Metazoa; Chordata; Testudines; Emydidae
Description: lncRNA (ENSCPBG00000025472.1)
Source: RNAcentral